Molecule: non-coding RNA, 213 nt
Organism: Vicia faba (fava bean)
Lineage: Eukaryota; Viridiplantae; Streptophyta; Magnoliopsida; Fabales; Fabaceae
Source: the annotation of a GenBank genome assembly
AUGACUUUUUCUCAAUCUCGAUUUUGGUGGAUUUUGUUGGUUGCUUUUGUUUUGCUUUCAGGAUUCACAAGCAGUGUUGAUCCUCCAGGGUAUAAGUGCACCUCUAACACAUGCACAAGUGAUCAAGAGUGCAAUAAUUAUUGUACUUUCUUUCGCUAUAAAAGUGGUUCAUGUCUAGAUCCCCAACCUAAGCGUUGUUGCUGUCGUACAUAA